GACUUUGCUUCCCUUCUUGGAUCCCUCCUUCGUGCUUUCCUUUUUUUUUCCUUUCACCCCUGGUUCUUGGAAUCUUGGAUCAAACCCUAACUAUUGAUCCAUCUCCUCCACCCCCAUUUUCUCCCUCCACUCUCUUCUUCUUCUUCGAUUUCCGCCCCUCUCUUCCCUUUUCCUCAUCUCUCCUGCAAUUAAUACUCCAUAGACUUGGUGAAGCUUUUCGUGUUCCACAAAAAUGGUGUCUGGUGGAUCGAUAGUGCCGCAUCAACUUCACUUUCCGAAGCUCUCUUGCCUUUCCAUCUUCAUUUUCGCUCUUCUAAUGAUAUCUCCCCUUAAUGGCAUGUACAAGAGAUUACAAGACUGUAACCAUAGUUUGCGGCAGUAUAAUAACAAACUUCAAACAGAGCUUUCUACAGCCAAUGAGACCUUGAAACGCGUUGAGUGAGAAAGAUGCUGUAGUGGGGAAAGUACAGCUCAUUGCAGGAUCAGUUGCCGUCAUCCAUGAUAUCUCCCCUUAAUGACAUGUACAAGAGAUUACAGGACUGUAACCAUAGUUUGCGGCAGUAUAAUAACAAACUUCAAACGGAGCUUUCUACAGCCAAUGAGACCUUGAAACGCGUUGAGUGAGAAAGAUGCUGUAGUCGAAAACCUCAACACCUUGAGGGGGAAAGUACAGUUCAUUGCAGGAUCAGUUGCCGUCAUCCAUGGAUGCUGAUACUCAACCUUCACUGGUAAUAGUAUACUUCCGAGGUAAUGAUUCAAUGGGAACCCACCCGUCAGGUCCAGGCCCUCAGGUGCCACUUCCAGAAUAUGUUGAGAACAUGAGAAAGAUUGGCACUGAUAUUAAGGGUCUUUCAGAUACAACUCGAAUUAUUUUCCUAAGCAGUCAUCCGGUGAAUGAAGACCGUAUUAGGGAAACCAGAAGUAUAUAUCUAUCGGAUCUAAUUCGAACGAAUGAGCAAUGUCAAAAGUAUUCUGAAGCUCUGAUAGAACUGUGCAAGGAAAUGGAUAUGAAAGUGGUUGAUCUUUACACUGCAAUCCAGAGGAAGGAUGACUGGUUGACAACUUGUUUUACUAUCGGAGAGGACAGCGAUAAGGGCUGCAUCUAAAACUCUGAUGGAUACGGAGGCUAUAGAUUCAUUCAAGAAAACACAACACCUGCUAUUAGGAAGGUUGCAAGAUAGCAAUGCAGUGCUUUCACAUGUUGAUCAAUGAAUACUUAGACAAUUGCUAAGCAGAUGUCAUGACUGAGUUUUCAAAAAAUACACGUCUUUUGAAAUCAAAGAAGUGAGUGACCUUGACUACAUAUUUCUCAAGUUGAGAAACAUCAAGUCCAAGAUUUUCGCCACUUAUCCUGAUGCGUUUCCAAAUGAAUCCUUGGAAGUUGUUGACACCAGACCAGACCUUGAGGUACCUGUGUGUGAUAUGAGUUCGCAAGAUCAUGCAAGUCCGACAGAAUCCCAUCAACCACCAUCUGUAUAAUAAUACAUCUUUCUGAACAUCAGUUCGAGUUUGUACUUUUAAACCUUGUUGAGCAAGCAACUGAGAACAGGCUUGUUCACCGUGGAAAUAUAUAUUGCUCAGUUCCUCAUGGCAUCAAUGACCACACUCGCUGGUCUAGCUUUGGCAGCAGAAUCGGCUAAACUUGGAUUAAAAGUUGGCUUCUUGGUUUCAUAUAUUGAGUUCCCUUGGCUGGCUGGAAAUCUGCAGCCCAUCCCAAACCAGAAAAUUCAUUGGAGAUCUCUAGAAGGUCUUCCAAACAGUGGUGCUGUUUGAUUUUACCCAAGAGGUACUUCGUCAUGUCUUGUAGAACUUCUAAAGAAUAUUAGAGUGCAGAAUCUUCAGCAUUUGGAAUUAGUGCAGCCUUUUCGUAUGUUAUCAUUUCCUGCUGAUUACGGGAGAUGGUUAGCCAAUAGCCAGCCUUCAAUGUUAUUAUGAUGUUAGGAGAUCUUCUUUAAUUUGUAUGAACUGAUGGAAUGAUUAUGGCAUUACAAAAUGUGGCAUGAUGGUCGGACUGCUGUUACUGCAGAUGGGAAGCGCAGUGCUCAGUUAUGAGCAUACUUUACUGAAAAAGAAGUUGACACUAUAAGAGUAUAAGAUCGUAUUAAAGUUUAUCCAGCUCUUAUUCGGUACACCUGAAAACAUGAACUCUUAGGGCAAAGCGGUUGGGUGCUGAUCGAGCUCAAGUGAUGUUGGCAGAUUACACUGGUCCUCAGUACGAAACAGAGACACGAGUGACGGCAUCGAUUGUGAAAUUUUCUUAGUAUCCUAAUCCUGCUGCAUCCUCCAUAUCAAAAAGAAUCAUGGUGGAAGUUAACAGUUGAAUGAUUAAAUCUCUUAAAUGUUUCGAUUUGUUUAGGUUGAAAUGAGUUUGUCUAAAUAGGUUGUGUUUUUCAAGAUUUGUUGAAUUAUUGUAUGUAUAUAAUUUAUUGAUAAUGGUUAGUGUUAAGAGUGAUACAUGUAUGGGUUUCACUUGAUACUACGAUGAAAAAUAGUUUGGUUGAAAUACAACGCAUAAAAUGGUUGUUAAACUAAUUA
Molecule: long non-coding RNA, 2535 nt
Organism: Spinacia oleracea (spinach)
Lineage: Eukaryota; Viridiplantae; Streptophyta; Magnoliopsida; Caryophyllales; Amaranthaceae
Exons: 14
Source: RefSeq, a predicted model, not a curated record